RNAcentral lists this ribosomal RNA (207 nucleotides) under uncultured bacterium. RNAcentral's name for it is "partial 16S ribosomal RNA". It matches the Rfam family "Bacterial small subunit ribosomal RNA", at positions 568 to 774 of the family's 1533-position model. The record is from RNAcentral.
CGUGUAGGCGGGAGACCAAGUCAGAUGUGAAAUGCCAGGGCUUAACCCUGGAGCUGCAUUUGAAACUGGCCUUCUUGAGUGAUGGAGAGGUAGGCGGAAUUCCUAGUGUAGCGGUGAAAUGCGUAGAUAUUAGGAGGAACACCAGUGGCGAAGGCGGCCUGCUGGACAUUAACUGACGCUGAGGCGCGAAAGCGUGGGGAGCAAACA